CGCGCCGUAACACAUGCAAGUCGAACGGUUAAAGACACCUUCGGGUGUGUAUAAAGUAGGCGAACGGCGUGAGUAACACGUCGGGCGAACCUGCCCCCUCGCACCGGGAUAGCCUCGGAAACCGUGGUUAAUACCGGAUACUCCGCGACCCCCGCAUGGGGGACGCGGGAAAGCCCAGACGGCGAGGGAUGGGCCCGCGGCCUGUUAGCUUGUUGGCGGGGUAGUGGCCCACCAAGGCGAUUAUGGGUAGCCGGGUUGAGAGACCGACCGGCCAGAUUGGGACUGAGACACGGCCCAGACUCCUACGGGAGGCAGCAGUGGGGAAUCUUGCACAAUGGGCGAAAGCCUGAUGCAAGCGACGCCGCGUGCGGGACGAAGGCCUUCGGGUUGUAAACCGCUUUCAGCAGGGACGAGGCCGCAAGGUGACGGUACCUGCAGAAGAAGCCCCGGCUAACUACGUGCCAGCCGCAGC
Molecule: ribosomal RNA, 472 nt
Filed under: uncultured bacterium
Lineage: Bacteria
Description: bacterial SSU rRNA
Rfam family: Bacterial small subunit ribosomal RNA
Source: RNAcentral